Canis lupus familiaris (dog) is the source of this 1223-nucleotide long non-coding RNA. RefSeq lists it as uncharacterized. The record is from RefSeq and is a predicted model, not a curated record. The transcript has 3 exons. NCBI's taxonomy places the organism in Eukaryota, Metazoa, Chordata, Mammalia, Carnivora, Canidae.
CGGUGCCCGUCCCCGCGCUCGGCCCCGAUCCUCUCCCGGCGCCGGUCCCCGGGUCUGUCCCGCUGGCGCUCGGGGUGACGGUCUCGGUCCGGGCGGGGCUGCCGCUCCGGGUCCCGCUCUUUCGGCCGGGCCCGGGGCUCGCGAGCCCCCGGCGUAUCUCCCAUGGCGCGCUCCCGCGUCCGCGCCCCGGAGCGACCCGAGGGCAACAACCCACCGCAAGUUUCCCGGGCAGCCGUCUCUUCCUUCCUCUAGCUCGCUCUCCGCCCCGCCGUCCUUCUAACUGUGUCGUCCAGGGGCCUUGAGGCCAGUUCAUCUACUACAACAGUGUCAGACUUUCAAAACGACUACGCAGAACACGCGGCUUUUCCUUUUUUGCCAAAACCCUUGACAUUAUGCACAUGGUGGAAGGUAACAAGGAUGGGAGCUCUUUUCUGAGGAAACUUCUUGAUUGUUCAACCAAAGCAAAGAGCACCAUGAGCAGACGGCCAAAGAGCAGAAAAAGAAAGUACUCGCCAUUGGUGUGUUAACAAGAAAUAUCCUAAAAAGGUAAGAUCACAGUUCUCAUUCAGAUAUAAAAUGGACACAUGCUAAACAUUUUAUGUAACUCAGUCAUCACUGAAGGAAUCAGGCAGGUGUUACAACAGAUUCAAAAGAAAAUCCAAAGAACAUACCCAGUGUAGAUCAGGAAUGAUAAAUGAGCGUACGAAGGAGGCAAAACUGAUUGCUUGCAAGGAGGAAAGGGAAAAUCAGUUGAAUCUUUACCAGACAAAAUAGAAUUUGCAUCUCUAUAGGCAAAACUUUUUUUCUUUUGCAUUGCUAUCGAUUAUCUACAAUGCAGAGUUGUAAAAUAACAGUUUUCUGCUGAAGCACAAAGGCAAGGGCAUUGCCUUCACUUAAACUGGGAAAGUGGGAUGCUUUGUGGGUUUGGGAAAAUGUAGCUGAGAGGCUAGCCCUGAGGAGAAAUAGUAUACCCGGCCUCUUCUGACUUAGCAGGCUCACAAAAGCCUGUGCAUCUGCAUUUUUUUUGUGCAUCUGCAUUUUUUAAUAGUUCCAUGAAGCAUCCCGUUUGAGAACUAAUUUAUUAAUAUAAAUUAGCAUUCAAUUUUCCAUCCUAAAGGAGAGCCUAACCUAAUGUGAAACUAAUCCAAAUUCUCACCUAAAUUUUUUCCUAAAAAUAAACAUUUCAGGACACCUGGAUGGCUCAGUGGUUGAGCAUCUACCUU